GCAAGCUCUCAAGAAUACUCUCUUGUGGUUCCCAUGCCAGAGCAAAUGUGGCCCCAAACUGUGGCCUCGCUGCUAUGCCCAUAGGCUGCUGGCACCAGUGCAAGAUGCACAGUG
RNAcentral lists this small nucleolar RNA (114 nucleotides) under Octodon degus (degu). RNAcentral's name for it is "Small nucleolar RNA SNORA42/SNORA80 family (ENSODEG00000024846.1)". Lineage: Eukaryota; Metazoa; Chordata; Mammalia; Rodentia; Octodontidae. The record is from RNAcentral.